GACAGAGGGUGCAAACGUUGUUCGGAAUUACUGGGCGUAAAGCGUGUGUAGGCGGCUACGAAAGUCGGAUGUGAAAUCCCCGGGCUCAACCCGGGAAGUGCACCCGAAACUGUGUGGCUUGAGUACCGGAGAGGUUGGUGGAAUUCUCGGUGUAGAGGUGAAAUUCGUAGAUAUCGAGAGGAACACCGGUGGCGAAGGCGGCCAACUGGACGAGUACUGACGCUGAGACACGAAAGCGUGGGGAGCAAACAGG
Molecule: ribosomal RNA, 253 nt
Filed under: uncultured bacterium
Lineage: Bacteria
Also listed under: 1 other name
Description: partial 16S ribosomal RNA
Rfam family: Bacterial small subunit ribosomal RNA
Source: RNAcentral